CUGGGUUUAAAGUGUGCGUAGGCGGUUAGUUAAGUCUGUUGUGAAAAUCCCCCGGGGCUCAACCUGGGGAAUGGCAAUGGAUACUGGCUAGCUAGAGUGUGUCAGAGGAUGGUGGAAUUCCCGGUGUAGCGGUGAAAUGCGUAGAGAUCGGGAGGAACAUCAGUGGCGAAGGCGGCCAUCUGGGACAACACUGACGCUGAAGCACGAAAGCGUGGGGAGCAAACAGGAUUAGAUACCCCGGGUA
RNAcentral lists this ribosomal RNA (244 nucleotides) under uncultured Pseudomonadota bacterium. RNAcentral describes it as "uncultured proteobacterium partial 16S ribosomal RNA". It matches the Rfam family "Bacterial small subunit ribosomal RNA", at positions 554 to 792 of the family's 1533-position model. Lineage: Bacteria; Pseudomonadati; Pseudomonadota. The record is from RNAcentral.